This is a transfer RNA of Tolypocladium ophioglossoides CBS 100239, 98 nucleotides long. It matches the Rfam family "tRNA". From Rfam's summary of the family: Transfer RNA (tRNA) molecules are approximately 80 nucleotides in length. The record is from Rfam. Lineage: Eukaryota; Fungi; Ascomycota; Sordariomycetes; Hypocreales; Ophiocordycipitaceae.
GGUCUGGUGGCAUAGUUGGUUCGCGCGUCGUACUAAUAAGUUGUGUAACUCAACUACAAGUAAUGCGAAGGUCGAGGGUUCAAGCCCCUCCUGGACCA